Molecule: ribosomal RNA, 451 nt
Filed under: uncultured bacterium
Lineage: Bacteria
Description: partial 16S ribosomal RNA
Rfam family: Bacterial small subunit ribosomal RNA
Source: RNAcentral
GUGGGGAAUAUUGGACAAUGGGGGGAACCCUGAUCCAGCCAUGCCGCGUGUGUGAAGAAGGCCUUUUGGUUGUAAAGCACUUUAAGCGAGCAGGAGGCUACCGAGAUUAAUACUCUUGGAUAGUGGACGUUACUCGCAGAAUAAGCACCGGCUAACUCUGUGCCAGCAGCCGCGGUAAUACAGAGGGUGCAAGCGUUAAUCGGAAUUACUGGGCGUAAAGCGUGCGUAGGUGGUUUUGUAAGUUGGAGGUGAAAUCCCCGGGCUCAACCUGGGAACUGGCUCCACAACUGCAUGACUAGAGUACGGUAGAGGGUAGUUGAAUUUCCUGUGUAGCGGUGAAAUGCGUAGAUAUGACAUAGAACACCGAUAGCGAAGGCAGCUCACUAAGUCUGAAUUGACGCUCAUGGACGAAAGCGCGGGUAGCAAACAGGAUUAGAUACCCCUGUAGUCC